Molecule: ribosomal RNA, 460 nt
Filed under: uncultured bacterium
Lineage: Bacteria
Description: partial 16S ribosomal RNA
Rfam family: Bacterial small subunit ribosomal RNA
Source: RNAcentral
CCUACGGGGGGCAGCAGUGAGGAAUAUUGGUCAAUGGGCGCGAGCCUGAACCAGCCAAGUAGCGUGAAGGAUGACUGCCCUACGGGUUGUAAACUUCUUUUAUAAAGGAAUAAAGUGAGGCACGUGUGCCUUUUUGUAUGUACUUUAUGAAUAAGGAUCGGCUAACUCCGUGCCAGCAGCCGCGGUAAUACGGAGGAUCCGAGCGUUAUCCGGAUUUAUUGGGUUUAAAGGGAGCGUAGAUGGGUUGUUAAGUCAGUUGUGAAAGUUUGCGGCUCAACCGUAAAAUUGCAAUUGAUACUGGCAGCCUUGAGUACAGUUGAGGUAGGCGGAAUUCGUGGUGUAGCGGUGAAAUGCUUAGAUAUACGGAGGAACACCAGUGGCGAAGGCGGCCUGCUGGACAUUAACUGACGCUGAGGCGCGAAAGCGUGGGGAGCAAACAGGAUUAGAUACCCUUGUAGUC